Molecule: ribosomal RNA, 253 nt
Filed under: uncultured bacterium
Lineage: Bacteria
Description: partial 16S ribosomal RNA
Rfam family: Bacterial small subunit ribosomal RNA
Source: RNAcentral
UACAGAGGGGGCAAGCGUUGUUCGGAAUUACUGGGCGUAAAGGGCGCGUAGGCGGCCUGCUAAGUCGAACGUGAAAUCCCUGGGGUCAACCCAGGAACUGCGUCCGAUACUGGUUGGCUUGAAUCCGGGAGAGGGAUGUGGAAUUCCAGGUGUAGCGGUGAAAUGCGUAGAUAUCAAGAGGAACACCUGCGGCGAAGGCGGGUUGCUGGGCCGACACUGACGCUGAGGCGCGAAAGCCAGGGGAGCAAACGGG